GAGUUUGAUCCUGGCUCAGAACGAACGCUGGCGGCGUGGAUAAGACAUGCAAGUCGAGCGAUUACAUCAGGGUAGCAAUAUUCUGGUGUGAGAGCGGCGCAAGGGUGCGUAACACGUGGGUAAUCUGCCAUGAAGUUUGGGAUAAUCCCGCGAAAGCGGGACUAAUACCGGAUGUGACAGCCUGGAGGCAUCUUCGGGUUGUUAAAGUUGGGGACCGUAAGGCCUGACGCUUCAUGAUGAGCCCGCGGCCUAUCAGCUAGUUGGUGAGGUAACGGCUCACCAAGGCUAAGACGGGUAGCUGGUCUGAGAGGACGACCAGCCACACUGGAACUGAGACACGGUCCAGACACCUACGGGUGGCAGCAGUCGAGAAUUUUUCACAAUGGGCGCAAGCCUGAUGGAGCGACGCCGCGUGGGGGAUGAAUGGCUUCGGCCCGUAAACCCCUGUCAUUUGCGAUCAAACCUUGCUAUUUAAAAGAUGGCGAGCUGAUAGUAGCGAAAGA
RNAcentral lists this ribosomal RNA (503 nucleotides) under uncultured bacterium. RNAcentral describes it as "bacterial SSU rRNA". It matches the Rfam family "Bacterial small subunit ribosomal RNA", at positions 9 to 485 of the family's 1533-position model. The record is from RNAcentral.